GACGCUAUGGCCGAGUGGUUAAGGCGAUUGACUAGAAUUUCCUGGUAUCAAUUUCCCUCUGGGAGCGCUGGUUCAAGUCCAGCUGGCGUCG
This 91-nucleotide transfer RNA is filed under the name Auricularia subglabra TFB-10046 SS5. It matches the Rfam family "tRNA". Rfam says of the family: Transfer RNA (tRNA) molecules are approximately 80 nucleotides in length. Their secondary structure includes four short double-helical elements and three loops (D, anti-codon, and T loops). Lineage: Eukaryota; Fungi; Basidiomycota; Agaricomycetes; Auriculariales; Auriculariaceae. The record is from Rfam by way of RNAcentral.